Molecule: non-coding RNA, 293 nt
Organism: Nothobranchius furzeri (turquoise killifish)
Lineage: Eukaryota; Metazoa; Chordata; Actinopteri; Cyprinodontiformes; Nothobranchiidae
Source: RefSeq, a predicted model, not a curated record
ACUAGCUGAGAGCAGUCAUUCGAGGUGGAGGACUUUUCCCCACCUUCUUCCCCAGAGGAUAGGGAGGAGGGCUUAUUGGGGGAAGCAAGCGGUCCUGAACCGUAUCUUUUUGAGCCACUAGCUCGUGAGUUGUCAGAGGCCCCUGGAGUCGAGCCAGCAGGAGUAUCAAGGCAUCGAAUGGGUCCAGUCUCUGAGUGGUGCACCUGCGGCCACUGCACAUCAUUGUCUGCCAGAGAAAAUGUGUGCUGCAGAGAAACGCCCAAGGUAAUGCUCAGGUGUCAGCAGGUGGGUGU